GCCGACCUGCAAAGUUGGUGAUGGGGUAAUAAACGCUGCUGAACCUGUUUCUUGUGAAAGGGAGCUUGACUCGAAGAUUGGUCUGGUGUGCCAGUGCCCAGUCGCAUAGGCCUAAAGGACCACGGCGGGCGCCCACCUUGUUGAAAGGUUCACAAGCGACCUACCCCACACGGCCCCGCGGGUCGGCA
RNAcentral lists this non-coding RNA (188 nucleotides) under Terriglobia bacterium. RNAcentral describes it as "6S RNA". It matches the Rfam family "6S / SsrS RNA". Rfam says of the family: E. coli 6S RNA was the first non coding RNA to be sequenced, but its function was unknown until recently. It consists of 184 nucleotides that fold into an extended hairpin structure with a large single-stranded internal bulge. The record is from RNAcentral. Lineage: Bacteria; Pseudomonadati; Acidobacteriota; Terriglobia.